RNAcentral lists this ribosomal RNA (801 nucleotides) under uncultured bacterium. RNAcentral describes it as "bacterial SSU rRNA". It matches the Rfam family "Bacterial small subunit ribosomal RNA", at positions 46 to 847 of the family's 1533-position model. The record is from RNAcentral.
GCCUAUCAUGCAGUCGAACGGCAGCGGGUCCAGCAAUGGAUGCCGGCGAGCGGCGCACGGGUGCGUAACGCGUAUGCAAUCUACCUUUGACUGGGGGAUAGCCCCGAGAAAUCGGGAUUAAUACCCCAUAAUAUUGAGGAGGGACAUCCCUUUUCAAUUAAAGCUCCGGCGGUCUUAGAUGAGCAUGCGUGACAUUAGCUAGUUGGUGAGGUAACGGCUCACCAAGGCGACGAUGUCUAGGGGUUCUGAGAGGAUUUUCCCCCACACUGGUACUGAGACACGGACCAGACUCCUACGGGAGGCAGCAGUAAGGAAUAUUGGUCAAUGGGCGCAAGCCUGAACCAGCCAUGCCGCGUGAAGGAUGACGGCCCUAUGGGUUGUAAACUUCUUUUGUACGGGAAAAAACCCCCGGUCGUGUACCGGGGCUGAUGGUACCGUAAGAAUGAGCAUCGGCUAACUCCGUGCCAGCAGCCGCGGUAAUACGGAGGAUGCAAGCGUUAUCCGGAUUCAUUGGGUUUAAAGGGUGCGCAGGCGGAAUGAUAAGUCAGUGGUGAAAUCCUACGGCUCAACUGUAGAACUGCCAUUGAUACUGUCGUUCUUGAGUACACUUGAAGUGGGCGGAAUGUGUCAUGUAGCGGUGAAAUGCUUAGAUAUGACACAGAACACCGAUCGCGAAGGCAGCUCACUAAAUUGUAACUGACGCUCAUGCACGAAAGCGUGGGGAUCAAACAGGAUUAGAUACCCUGGUAGUCCACGCUGUAAACGAUGAUCACUCGAUGUUGGCGAUACACUGUCAGCGUC